This is a long non-coding RNA of Etheostoma cragini (Arkansas darter), 427 nucleotides long. RefSeq lists it as uncharacterized. The record is from RefSeq and is a predicted model, not a curated record. The transcript is spliced from 2 exons. Lineage: Eukaryota; Metazoa; Chordata; Actinopteri; Perciformes; Percidae.
UAAGUUUGCUUACUGCGUGUCAAGAACAGGUUUUCAGUAUUUCAAGCAUCUUUCUUAAAGGAGGACAAUGCGGCUAAACUGGAUUUAGCUAGCCAGAUUGACAGCAGACAAACGGAGAGAACAGGUCAUCUGCUCUCACCUUUGGCAGUGUGGACCAUCUGAGCAUAUAUUGCAGGGGGGAUGACGGACUGGGGAAGAUCCUGCAGGUACCUGCGCAGACCAUCACACAGGACGGGAAGCUCCACCUGAUCCAGGUCUGGUGAGGGAGGAUCUGAAGUGCAAUACAAUACAGAAUAAUGCUUAAAAACGGAAACUGCUUUGUGCGCAGUGAAAUAUUUAAUUACAUGCUAAUGUUCAAUCUGCAAAACUAUCUGAUGCAUACAUGUAGAUGCAACCAUGGCUGAUACAAUAAAGCCUCCAGAAACCA